UUUUUUCCUGUGGGAGGAGACAGGCAAGAAUCCAAGAAAAAGAGAAGCUGGAGAGAGCGGCGCGCACAAGAACACAGGGAGGCUUUUUACCAAGCUCCUGCAAACCCCAAGCCAAGACAGACGUGCAGACAUGGUGUCCGGGAACUAGGGGCUGCUGUUGGACAAGCUGAGGGGCUCUGAGCGCUAAUGGGUUGAAAGGGGAGACUGCUAACCCGGUGAAGGAGAGCAAGAGCAGCAUGUUUCACCCCAACCCAUAGCCGCCUUCCAUUCGAGAGCUCGGAAGGCAGGCACCUGGCUAGACCAGCCCGAAGAGAGGAGAGACACCUCCCCGCGCCAGGCACACAAAGGUCACUUGCUCCCUGACACCGCUUGUGCUAGCUUCUUGGAGCAGCACCCUGCUUUGGCAGUCCUUCAAGUAUCUUUCUAGAUCCCACAUUCCAGCAAGUGGCUCAGGUACCCUACUCCUACAGCAGCUUCAUAGCGAAGGGAAGCUCAGGCUGCAGCUAGCUGUCUCCUGGGAGCCUCCAUGUAAGCAGGAGACAAUGGCGCCUACACAGCCAGCCUGGUAUAGUUUAGACUUCACUGGAUAUUCUUGCCUGUUACAUCAGCUGAAGUGAGACAGCGGGCAGGACCCAAGGAGGAAAAUGGAGCUGAAGGUGUCUUAAGGUAACAGAGCUCAAAAGUCCCUGCUAGCACACUGGAGGAAAUGGUGCACAUGUGUUAUGUCUGGAUCCACAGGCUUGUACACAGAUCUGAAAAAAAGCUGUGCCACUACAAGAAAGAUGAGCACUUGAGAACAACCCUUCCUUAUGGUUGAGCCCUUCGAGGAAGUCUCUUCAUGUGUAUCUUCUCUGAUAAUAAAGUCUGGGCCUAGGUUUCACCUACUUCUAUAGGAGUAUUAAAAAUUGUAGACAUGAACACAAUUUUAAUUUUAUGUGUAACCUAGAAAUGAUGAACUUAUAGGAACAGAAUUGUGGCUAUUAGGCUUCAAUGUGGGUCUUUUAACAAUGGGGGAAAUGAUUGGUUUAAGGACAUAAAACUGCAGUUGGACAAGAGGCAUGGACUCUGUGAAGUCUUGAGGUCUACUGAGAGCAUGAUAAAUAUGGUUGAUAACAAUAUGCUAUAUUUUAAAAGUUGUGAGAUAGUAUACUUUAAGUGUUCUCAAAACAAAAAUCAUGAAUAUGUGUGAUAUAACAUGUUAAUUGGUUU
RNAcentral lists this long non-coding RNA (1209 nucleotides) under Cricetulus griseus (Chinese hamster). RNAcentral describes it as "lncRNA (ENSCGRG00015040454.1)". Lineage: Eukaryota; Metazoa; Chordata; Mammalia; Rodentia; Cricetidae. The record is from RNAcentral.